Molecule: ribosomal RNA, 460 nt
Filed under: uncultured bacterium
Lineage: Bacteria
Description: partial 16S ribosomal RNA
Rfam family: Bacterial small subunit ribosomal RNA
Source: RNAcentral
CCUACGGGAGGCAGCAGUGAGGAAUAUUGGUCAAUGGGCGGGAGCCUGAACCAGCCAAGUCGCGUGAGGGAAGACGGUCCUAUGGAUUGUAAACCUCUUUAGGCGGGGAGCAAUGCCGGGCACGUGUGCCCGGAGGGAGAGUACCCGCAGAAUAAGCAUCGGCUAACUCCGUGCCAGCAGUCGCGGUAAUACGGAGGAUGCGAGCGUUAUCCGGAUUUAUUGGGGUUAAGGGGUGCGUAGGCGGAUUUUUAAGUCAGCGGUAAAAUGUCCGGGCUCAACCCGGGCCGGCCGUUGAAACUGGGGAUCUUGAGUGGGCGAGAAGUAGGCGGAAUGCGUGGUGUAGCGGUGAAAUGCAUAGAUAUCACGCAGAACUCCGAUUGCGAAGGCAGCAUACCGGCGCCCAACUGACGCUGAGGCACGAAAGCGUGGGGAGCGAACAGGAUUAGAUACCCUUGUAGUC